This 262-nucleotide ribosomal RNA is filed under the name Enterococcus faecium. RNAcentral describes it as "partial 23S ribosomal RNA". It matches the Rfam family "Bacterial large subunit ribosomal RNA", at positions 238 to 501 of the family's 2925-position model. The record is from RNAcentral. Lineage: Bacteria; Bacillati; Bacillota; Bacilli; Lactobacillales; Enterococcaceae.
CCUGAGUAGCGGCGAGCGAAACGGGAAAAGCCCAAACCAGCAAGCUUGCUUGUUGGGGUUGUAGGACUCCAAAAUGGUAGUUCUUUCAGAUAGUCGAAUGACUUGGAAAAGUCAGUCAAAGAGGGUAAAAACCCCGUAGACGAAAUCUGGAAGACACCUAGGAGGAUCCUGAGUACGGCUGAACACGAGAAAUUCCGUCGGAAUCCGGGAGGACCAUCUCCCAAGUCUAAAUACUCCCUAGUGACCGAUAGUGAACCAGUAC